This 157-nucleotide ribosomal RNA is filed under the name uncultured bacterium. RNAcentral's name for it is "partial 16S ribosomal RNA". It matches the Rfam family "Bacterial small subunit ribosomal RNA", at positions 1342 to 1500 of the family's 1533-position model. The record is from RNAcentral.
UGGCAGGUCAGCAUACUGCCGUGAAUACGUUCCCGGGCCUUGUACACACCGCCCGUCACACCAUGAGAGUUGGGAAUACCCGAAGCCUGUGAGCUAACGUAAGAGGCAGCAGUCGAAGGUAGAAUCAAUGAUUGGGGUGAAGUCGUAACAAGGUACC